RNAcentral lists this ribosomal RNA (273 nucleotides) under uncultured bacterium. RNAcentral's name for it is "partial 16S ribosomal RNA". It matches the Rfam family "Bacterial small subunit ribosomal RNA", at positions 524 to 796 of the family's 1533-position model. The record is from RNAcentral.
UACGGAGGGGACUAGCGUUGUUCGGAAUUACUGGGCGUAAAGCGCACGUAGGCGGAUCGGAAAGUUGGGGGUGAAAUCCCGGGGCUCAACCCCGGAACUGCCUUCAAAACUAUCGGUCUGGAGUUCGAGAGAGGUGAGUGGAAUUCCGAGUGUAGAGGUGAAAUUCGUAGAUAUUCGGAGGAACACCAGUGGCGAAGGCGGCUCACUGGCUCGAUACUGACGCUGAGGUGCGAAAGCGUGGGGAGCAAACAGGAUUAGAUACCCGGGUAGUCC